This 30-nucleotide non-coding RNA is filed under the name Mus musculus (house mouse). Lineage: Eukaryota; Metazoa; Chordata; Mammalia; Rodentia; Muridae. The record is from RNAcentral.
UGGACUUCCUAUUUACAGCUGCCUAUUGUU